Molecule: transfer RNA, 72 nt
Filed under: Salinispira pacifica
Lineage: Bacteria; Pseudomonadati; Spirochaetota; Spirochaetia; Spirochaetales; Spirochaetaceae
Description: tRNA-Thr (CGT) (tRNA-Thr-CGT-1-1)
Rfam family: tRNA
About the family: Transfer RNA (tRNA) molecules are approximately 80 nucleotides in length. Their secondary structure includes four short double-helical elements and three loops (D, anti-codon, and T loops).
Source: Rfam by way of RNAcentral
GCCAGCAUAGCUCAGGGGUAGAGCAGCACUCUCGUAAAGUGCAGGUCGUCAGUUCGAAUCUGACUGCUGGCU